UCUCAACGAAAGGCUAUUUCCAGUCUCUGUUCUCCAGAUUCACCCCAUCCAUCAACGGCAUCAAGAAAACUGGUCCCUUCCUCUAAGCUUCCAAGCGAGUUUAAAGCUCUGAACGUUCCAAAGCUGAUAUCAUGUAAUGAACGCAAGAGAGAAGUAAGCCUUCACCUUUGAUAAGGCAGGUGUUUGGGCCAAAAUCACAACUGAGAUCAAUCUAUGAUCAAGCCAUUGCACCGAUUGUUAAUGAAGUUCUAGAGGGUUUCAACAGUCUUCGCCUGCUGAGGCUGGUGUUAUUCCAUGAGUAGUUAGCCACAUUUUUUAUACAAUAGAGCCCAAAAUGCUGACUACAGGAUAAAAGUGACAUUUUUGGAACUUGACAACGAAGAAACAACGGAUUAACUAGCUCCAGAAGACACCUUGAGAUCUACAAACGAUAGGCAAAAGAAACCCAUCUUUGAUGGACAGAUUUGAGCGGUUUUAAGAGGUUGAAGAAGAAGCUGUGUACUGUACAGUGCAAAUGCAAAACGAGGCGAGGCUAAGGAUGAAGUAGAUAUAUUUUAAUCUUAAUAUAAUUAUACAAAAGUUUUUAAAUAACUAAUCUGCGAUGCACGGAAAUGGUGAGGACCAACAUUUUCUCGUUCCGAAAACAUUUUCGUGUUGAAAACGGUGAGACACGACGUGGAGGCAUUUUAGACCAAUUUCCUGAAUUUUAAAAAGUAAAAAAUGCGUUUCCCAUGUCAGAAAUGCGUUUCUUAAAAAGAUAGGAAAAUGAAAAAGCAACAGAACAGAGAGAGGUGAGAGCGCUGCAUCGAAGAAGACUUAACUGGUAGCGGCAG
This is a long non-coding RNA of Hevea brasiliensis (rubber tree), 833 nucleotides long. RefSeq lists it as uncharacterized. Lineage: Eukaryota; Viridiplantae; Streptophyta; Magnoliopsida; Malpighiales; Euphorbiaceae. The transcript has 3 exons. The record is from RefSeq and is a predicted model, not a curated record.